GCUUAACACAUGCAAGUCGAGGGGCAGCAUUUUAGUUUGCUUGCAAACUAAAGAUGGCGACCGGCGCACGGGUGAGUAACACGUAUCCAACCUGCCGAUAACUCGGGGAUAGCCUUUCGAAAGAAAGAUUAAUAUCCGAUAGUAUAUUAAAACCGCAUGGUUUUACUAUUAAAGAAUUUCGGUUAUCGAUGGGGAUGCGUUCCAUUAGUUUGUUGGCGGGGUAACGGCCCACCAAGACUACGAUGGAUAGGGGUUCUGAGAGGAAGGUCCCCCACAUUGGAACUGAGACACGGUCCAAACUCCUACGGGAGGCAGCAGUGAGGAAUAUUGGUCAAUGGACGAGAGUCUGAACCAGCCAAGUAGCGUGAAGGAUGACUGCCCUAUGGGUUGUAAACUUCUUUUAUAUGGGAAUAAAGUAUUCCACGUGUGGGAUUUUGUAUGUACCAUAUGAAUAAGGAUCGGCUAACUCCGUGCCAGCAGCCGCGGUAAUACGGAGGAUCCGAGCGUUAUCCGGAUUUAUUGGGUUUAAAGGGAGCGUAGGUGGAUUGUUAAGUCAGUUGUGAAAGUUUGCGGCUCAACCGUAAAAUUGCAGUUGAAACUGGCAGUCUUGAGUACAGUAGAGGUGGGCGGAAUUCGUGGUGUAGCGGUGAAAUGCUUAGAUAUCACGAAGAACUCCGAUUGCGAAGGCAGCUCACUAGACUGCAACUGACACUGAUGCUCGAAAGUGUGGGUAUCAAACAGGAUUAGAUACCCUGGUAGUCCACACAGUAAACGAUGAAUACUCGCUGUUUGCGAUAUACAGUAAGCGGCCAAGCGAAAGCAUUAAGUAUUCCACCUGGGGAGUACGCCGGCAACGGUGAAACUCAAAGGAAUUGACGGGGGCCCGCACAAGCGGAGGAACAUGUGGUUUAAUUCGAUGAUACGCGAGGAACCUUACCCGGGCUUAAAUUGCAUUUGAAUAAUCUGGAAACAGGUUAGCCGCAAGGCAAAUGUGAAGGUGCUGCAUGGUUGUCGUCAGCUCGUGCCGUGAGGUGUCGGCUUAAGUGCCAUAACGAGCGCAACCCUUAUCUUUAGUUACUAACAGGUCAUGCUGAGGACUCUAGAGAGACUGCUGUCGUAAGAUGUGAGGAAGGUGGGGAUGACGUCAAAUCAGCACGGCCCUUACGUCCGGGGCUACACACGUGUUACAAUGGGGGGUACAGAAGGCAGCUACCUGGCGACAGGAUGCUAAUCCCAAAAACCUCUCUCAGUUCGGAUCGAAGUCUGCAACCCGACUUCGUGAAGCUGGAUUCGCUAGUAAUCGCGCAUCAGCCAUGGCGCGGUGAAUACGUUCCCGGGCCUUGUACACACCGCCCGUCAAGCCAUGAAAGCCGGGGGUACCUGAAGUACGUAACCGCAAGGAGCGUCCUAGGGUAAAACUGGUAAUUGG
This 1429-nucleotide ribosomal RNA is filed under the name uncultured organism. RNAcentral's name for it is "16S ribosomal RNA". It matches the Rfam family "Bacterial small subunit ribosomal RNA". The record is from RNAcentral.